GGGCGUGUAGCUCAGCGGGAGAGCACUACGUUGACAUCGUAGGGGUCACAAGUUCAAUCCUUGUCACGCCCA
RNAcentral lists this transfer RNA (72 nucleotides) under Rhizobium sp. LC145. It matches the Rfam family "tRNA". Rfam says of the family: Transfer RNA (tRNA) molecules are approximately 80 nucleotides in length. Their secondary structure includes four short double-helical elements and three loops (D, anti-codon, and T loops). The record is from Rfam by way of RNAcentral. Lineage: Bacteria; Pseudomonadati; Pseudomonadota; Alphaproteobacteria; Hyphomicrobiales; Rhizobiaceae.